CCUACGGGUGGCAGCAGUGGGGAAUAUUGCACAAUGGGGGAAACCCUGAUGCAGCGACGCCGCGUGAGUGAAGAAGUAUUUCGGUAUGUAAAGCUCUAUCAGCAGGGAAGAAAAUGACGGUACCUGACUAAGAAGCCCCGGCUAACUACGUGCCAGCAGCCGCGGUAAUACGUAGGGGGCAAGCGUUAUCCGGAUUUACUGGGUGUAAAGGGAGCGUAGGUGGCAUGGUAAGCCAGAAGUGAAAACCCGGGGCGCAACCCCGCGGAUUGCUUUUGGAACUAUCAGGCUGGAGUGCUGGAGGGGUAAGCGGAAUUCCUAGUGUAGCGGUGAAAUGCGUAGAUAUUAGGAGGAACACCGGUGGCGAAGGCGGCUUACUGGACAGAAACUGACACUGAGGCUCGAAAGCGUGGGGAGCAAACAGGAUUAGAUACCCUAGUAGUC
Molecule: ribosomal RNA, 441 nt
Filed under: uncultured bacterium
Lineage: Bacteria
Description: partial 16S ribosomal RNA
Rfam family: Bacterial small subunit ribosomal RNA
Source: RNAcentral